UAACUUUAACGAAGAAGUAUUCUUUUCAUUUCCAAAAUUAAUAUAUCAUAUAUGUGUAUAUAUAUAUAUAUUCAAAUUUAGGAACAUGAUUAACUCCCACUAAUCAUUUGUAAACCUAGUAAACAAAAGAUUCAUUUACAUCUUUAUGAGAAAUCAAACGAUUUGAUCUUUUCUCUCAUAAGACGCUUAUAGCUCCCACUAGCUUGCUAAGAUUCAUGAUGGAUGGAUCUCCACAACUUACAUGUCUUGUGAUUCAUAGUUUUAGACAUAUAUUAUCAAGACUAUCUUAAUAA
RNAcentral lists this long non-coding RNA (293 nucleotides) under Malus domestica (apple). RNAcentral describes it as "long non-coding RNA (MDOM_LNC004229)". The record is from RNAcentral. Lineage: Eukaryota; Viridiplantae; Streptophyta; Magnoliopsida; Rosales; Rosaceae.